RNAcentral lists this ribosomal RNA (237 nucleotides) under uncultured bacterium. RNAcentral's name for it is "partial 16S ribosomal RNA". It matches the Rfam family "Bacterial small subunit ribosomal RNA", at positions 99 to 334 of the family's 1533-position model. The record is from RNAcentral.
CGAACGGGUGAGUAACGCGUGGGGAACCUGCCUCAAAGAGGGGGACAACAGUUGGAAACGACUGCUAAUACCGCAUAAGCCCACGGCUCGGCAUCGAGCAGAGGGAAAAGGAGCAAUCCGCUUUGAGAUGGCCUCGCGUCCGAUUAGCUAGUUGGUGAGGUAAUGGCCCACCAAGGCGACGAUCGGUAGCCGGACUGAGAGGUUGAACGGCCACAUUGGGACUGAGACACGGCCCAA